Molecule: ribosomal RNA, 497 nt
Filed under: uncultured bacterium
Lineage: Bacteria
Description: partial 16S ribosomal RNA
Rfam family: Bacterial small subunit ribosomal RNA
Source: RNAcentral
GAUGAACGCUGGCGGCGUGCCUAAUACAUGCAAGUCGAGCGAACAGACGAGGUGCUUGCUCCUCUUACGUUAGCGGCGGACGGGUGAGUAACACGUGGGUAACCUACCUAUAAGACUGGGAUAACUUCGGGAAACGAGAGCUAAUACCGCAUAAUAACUUUAAACACAAGGUUCAAUAGUGAAAGACGCUUUUGCAUCCACUUAUGGAUAGAUCCGCGUCGCAUUAGCUAGUUGGUAAGGUAACGGCUUACCAAGGCAACGAUGCGUAGCCGACCUGAGAGGGUGAUCGGCCACACUGGAACUGAGACACGGCCCAGACUCCUACGGGAGGCAGCAGUAGGGAAUCUUCCGCAAUGGGCGAAAGCCUGACGGAGCAACGCCGCGUGAGUGAUGAAGGUCUUCGGAUCGUAAAACUCUGUUAUUAGGGAAGAACAAAUGUGUAAGUAACUAUGCACGUCUUGACGGUACCUUAUCAGAAAGCCACGGCUAACUACGUG